This 456-nucleotide ribosomal RNA is filed under the name Streptococcus mitis. Its description in RNAcentral is "bacterial SSU rRNA". It matches the Rfam family "Bacterial small subunit ribosomal RNA", at positions 28 to 471 of the family's 1533-position model. Lineage: Bacteria; Bacillati; Bacillota; Bacilli; Lactobacillales; Streptococcaceae. The record is from RNAcentral.
GACGAACGCUGGCGGCGUGCCUAAUACAUGCAAGUAGAACGCUGAAGGAGGAGCUUGCUUCUCUGGAUGAGUUGCGAACGGGUGAGUAACGCGUAGGUAACCUGCCUGGUAGCGGGGGAUAACUAUUGGAAACGAUAGCUAAUACCGCAUAAUAGCAGUUAUUGCAUGAUAACUGUUUGAAAGGUGCAAUUGCACCACUACCAGAUGGACCUGCGUUGUAUUAGCUAGUUGGUGGGGUAACGGCUCACCAAGGCGACGAUACAUAGCCGACCUGAGAGGGUGAUCGGCCACACUGGGACUGAGACACGGCCCAGACUCCUACGGGAGGCAGCAGUAGGGAAUCUUCGGCAAUGGACGGAAGUCUGACCGAGCAACGCCGCGUGAGUGAAGAAGGUUUUCGGAUCGUAAAGCUCUGUUGUAAGAGAAGAACGAGUGUGAGAGGGAAAGUUCACACUG